GGUCAAGCGAACAAGUGCAUGUGGUGGAUGCCUUGGCGAUCACAGGCGAUGAAGGACGCGGUAGCCUGCGAAAAGCUACGGGGAGCUGGCAAACGAGCUUUGAUCCGUAGAUGUCCGAAUGGGGAAACCCGGCCCUUUUGGGUCAUCCUAGACUGAAUACAUAGGUCUAGUGAAGCGAACGCGGUGAACUGAAACAUCUAAGUAACCGCAGGAAAAGAAAUCAACCGAGAUUCCCAAAGUAGUGGCGAGCGAAAUGGGAUGAGCCUUGCACUCUUUAUUUGUAUUGUUAGCCGAACGCUCUGGAAAGUGCGGCCAUAGCAGGUGAUAGCCCUGUAGGCGAAAACAGUAUGAAAGAACUAGGUGUGCGACAAGUAGGGCGGGACACGUGAAAUCCUGUCUGAAGAUGGGGGGACCAUCCUCCAAGGCUAAAUACUCGUGAUCGACCGAUAGUGAACCAGUACCGUGAGGGAAAGGCGAAAAGAACCCCGGGAGGGGAGUGAAAUAGAUCCUGAAACCGCAUGCAUACAAACAGUCGGAGCCUCGUAAGGGGUGACGGCGUACCUUUUGUAUAAUGGGUCAGCGACUUACGUUCAGUAGCAAGCUUAACCGUAUAGGGCAGGCGUAGCGAAAGCGAGUCCGAAUAGGGCGUUCAGUUGCUGGGCGUAGACCCGAAACCAGGUGAUCUAUCCAUGGCCAGGAUGAAGGUGCGGUAACACGUACUGGAGGUCCGAACCCACUAACGUUGAAAAGUUAGGGGAUGAGCUGUGGAUAGGGGUGAAAGGCUAAACAAACCUGGAAAUAGCUGGUUCUCUCCGAAAACUAUUUAGGUAGUGCCUCGUGUCUCACCUUCGGGGGUAGAGCACUGUCAUGGUUGGGGGGUCUAUUGCAGAUUACCCCGCCAUAGCAAACUCCGAAUACCGAAGAGUGCAAUCACGGGAGACAGACAUCGGGUGCUAACGUCCGGUGUCAAGAGGGAAACAACCCAGACCGCCAGCUAAGGUCCCCAAAUAUAGCUAAGUGGGAAACGAAGUGGGAAGGCUAAAACAGUCAGGAGGUUGGCUUAGAAGCAGCCACCCUUUAAAGAAAGCGUAAUAGCUCACUGAUCGAGUCGUCCUGCGCGGAAGAUGUAACGGGGCUAAGCUAUAUACCGAAGCUGCGGAUGCGUGCUUUGCACGCAUGGUAGGAGAGCGUUCCGUAAGCCUGCGAAGGUGCCUUGUAAAGGGUGCUGGAGGUAUCGGAAGUGCGAAUGCUGACAUGAGUAGCGAUAAAGGGGGUGAAAGGCCCCCUCGCCGUAAGCCCAAGGUUUCCUACGCAACGUUCAUCGGCGUAGGGUGAGUCGGCCCCUAAGGCGAGGCAGAAAUGCGUAGCUGAUGGGAAGCAGGUCAAUAUUCCUGCACCAUUGUUAGAUGCGAUGGGGGGACGGAUCGCGGAAGGUUGUCCGGGUGUUGGAAGUCCCGGUCGCUGCAUUGGAGAAGGCGCUUAGGCAAAUCCGGGCGCGCAAUUCAAGGGUGUGGCGCGAGCUCCUUAGGGAGCGAAGCAAUUGGAAGUGGUUCCAAGAAAAGCCUCUAAGCUUCAGUCUAACGAUGACCGUACCGCAAACCGACACAGGUGGGCGAGAUGAGUAUUCUAAGGCGCUUGAGAGAACUCGGGAGAAGGAACUCGGCAAAUUGGUACCGUAACUUCGGGAUAAGGUACGCCCUUGUAGCUUGACUGGCCUGCGCCAGGAGGGUGAAGGGGUUGCAAUAAACUGGUGGCUGCGACUGUUUAAUAAAAACACAGCACUCUGCAAACACGAAAGUGGACGUAUAGGGUGUGACGCCUGCCCGGUGCCGGAAGAUUAAAUGAUGGGGUGCAAGCUCUUGAUUGAAGUCCCGGUAAACGGCGGCCGUAACUAUAACGGUCCUAAGGUAGCGAAAUUCCUUGUCGGGUAAGUUCCGACCUGCACGAAUGGCGUAACGAUGGCCACACUGUCUCCUCCCGAGACUCAGCGAAGUUGAAGUGUUUGUGAUGAUGCAAUCUACCCGCGGCUAGACGGAAAGACCCCAUGAACCUUUACUGUAGCUUUGCAUUGGACUUUGAACCGAUCUGUGUAGGAUAGGUGGGAGGCUAUGAAACCGGAACGCUAGUUUCGGUGGAGCCGUCCUUGAAAUACCACCCUGGUUUGUUUGAGGUUCUAACCUUGGCCCGUGAUCCGGGUCGGGGACAGUGCAUGGUAGGCAGUUUGACUGGGGCGGUCUCCUCCCAAAGCGUAACGGAGGAGUACGAAGGUACGCUAGGUACGGUCGGAAAUCGUGCUGAUAGUGCAAUGGCAUAAGCGUGCUUAACUGCGAGACCGACAAGUCGAGCAGGUGCGAAAGCAGGUCAUAGUGAUCCGGUGGUUCUGUAUGGAAGGGCCAUCGCUCAACGGAUAAAAGGUACUCUGGGGAUAACAGGCUGAUACCGCCCAAGAGUUCAUAUCGACGGCGGUGUUUGGCACCUCGAUGUCGGCUCAUCUCAUCCUGGGGCUGUAGCCGGUCCCAAGGGUAUGGCUGUUCGCCAUUUAAAGAGGUACGUGAGCUGGGUUUAAAACGUCGUGAGACAGUUUGGUCCCUAUCUGCCGUGGGCGUUGGAUAUUUGAAGGGGGCUGCUCCUAGUACGAGAGGACCGGAGUGGACGAACCUCUGGUGUACCGGUUGUCACGCCAGUGGCAUCGCCGGGUAGCUAUGUUCGGAAGAGAUAACCGCUGAAAGCAUCUAAGCGGGAAACUCGCCUUAAGAUGAGAUAUCCCUGGGGACUAGAUCCCCUUGAAGGGUCGUUCGAGACCAGGACGUUGAUAGGUCAGGUGUGUAAGCGCAGUAAUGCGUUCAGCUAACUGAUACUAAUUGCCCGUAAGGCUUGAUCCU
This 2882-nucleotide ribosomal RNA is filed under the name Burkholderia orbicola MC0-3. Its description in RNAcentral is "bacterial LSU rRNA". It matches the Rfam family "Bacterial large subunit ribosomal RNA". RNAcentral also lists the same sequence under 1 other name. Lineage: Bacteria; Pseudomonadati; Pseudomonadota; Betaproteobacteria; Burkholderiales; Burkholderiaceae. The record is from RNAcentral.